CUUGUCUCAGUUGCUUCUUCUCCAAACCCAAAGUUUGUGUCUUUUCAAGCUUGGUUUUGUUACUUUCCACCGUUAAUCUUCUGCACUGAACGCGGCAUGAUGGCCUGGUGCUUAUGCUUGAGCUCGGAGACACCUUAGCUGCUGGUAAUAAUCUGCUACUGCUCAGAUGGAGAUGAGGUUGCAGAGAAGAUACUUUCAUUUUGGGGAGAGACAUCAUCAUCAUCAUAGUCAUCUCACUUCUUCCUUGUAGUUAGUCUGAUUCUAUCUUUAUAUACUUAAGACUGUGUGGCUCUCCUGUACCUUAUCUUUGCGGAUAAAUCAUUUUUUUAUUUUAUUAUAAACUACAUAUUAUUACACAUAAAUCAAUAGAGCUCACACAUACAUUAUACAAGACAAGCCUUAAAGCUGAGCAAUCCCCUUCUUCACAAGCAUAUCAUAGACUCUGUCUACUUUGGUCGGAUCAAUCUUGAACAGGCUAUAAGCAUCUGACUUCUUUGUAACAUUCCCUUUGAAUAUCUCAUGUGACAUCACUUGCUGCAUCUGUAGAUAAACCGGUGGAACCAACUUGACCUCGCUGCAAAGACGCUUCUCCUGCCAAAAAAAAAUAGACAAACAACUCUCUUCUUUCAGUUACAGCAAUAAAAAAAGAAACUCUAUCUCACGCUUGUUCCAGGUCACUAGACAACUCACGGAUUCAGACAGCAGUUGCGACUCGUUGAACCCAAUCAUGUCCAAGUCGUUCACAUAGCUUGAAGAUGCUUGCACAGGACUGCUCUCUUUCCCUCUGUUCAUCCCUUCUUCGCUCUCUCGCUUCCUCUUCCUCCCUAGAUACCUCUCUGCUUCAGCCGUCGAACGACACCCUGCCAUUUGAGCUUCCUGCUCCGACCAGUCCAACACAAUCUAAGCAACCAAAACGCACAGUUUUGAGAGAGUAGCAAAUGUCCUCCUUACCUUGAGAUCUUUGAGCCGUUUCACCAUGCGGUACUCGCUGACAACACUAUUAAGUAGCUCUUGGUGCUCUUCUUUUGAAUGAAAGCGCAUGAAAACGUCUAAACGGCGGCUCUAUCAAGACCAUCGAGAUCGUCCAGCCACCCAAGCCGCCUCAGCCUCAGCCUCAGCCACAAGCUCAGCCUCCUCCACAAAAGCCUAAAGAUGCUCCCAAAGCCGCCGAGAAGCCUAAGGAGGGCGAGAAGCCUAAGCAGCCUGAAAAGCCCAAAGAGGCUGAAAAGCCGAAGGAAGCUGAGAAGCCUAAGCAAGCAGAGAAGCCCAAAGAAGCCGACAAACCCGCAGCGCCUAAACCCGCACCAGCUCCUGCACAGGCACAGGCACCUGCUCCUGCCCAAAAGCAGCCUGGACCGCCACCACAAGCGAUGCCGAUGAUGUCACAUGGGCAACCAGUAGCGAUGUGUUAUGGGCCAUACUAUGAUGGUUUUGGAGGUGGACCAGCGUUCAGUGGAUACGGAAUGCCGCCGCAGCCGCAACCGUACCAGAGUUAUGGCCGACCUGUGUAUGACAGCUGGGGAGGAGGACCACCACCUAGUUACCGACAAUGCAACCUCAACCGAUGCGAUUACUUCAGCGAAGAGAACCCACAAAGCUGCUCCAUCAUGUGAUAUUACGACUCAUCAUUUCCUUUAUUCCCUCUCUUUGAUACGAAUAAUGAAAAGAAUAUAUAGAGAGAUGUUUACGUGUAAUCUUGUGAUAGGGUCCAUAAGGAAGGAUCGUUGUAUUUUGAAGCUGUAACUGUAAACAUUAUAAGAAAACUGUUUCAUUUUCUUAAAUAUGAAUCAAGAAUAAUAGUAUUUCCCUUUUAUCAAUUAUAGUAUCUAUUUUCUGUGUUGUACCUUAUUCUUAUGAAGCUACUAGUUCUCAUGAAAGUAGAGAGCUGAUUAGGUCUGCUUCUCCUUAGUUCAUGGUUUUUUUCUUUAUUAUCCUCCUAACUUUAAUGAUGAAGGGGUGGCAAAUUUGACUUUUCGUCCUAGUAAGCAUGCUCUAUUGAUUUGUUGUUUCAUUUUACAAGUAAUAUUUAGAACUUCAGACAUUAUUCAUGUCAAACAAGAUAUGUUUUUCAAGUGCUGUUACAUUAGCUGACCGUACUAAAGAAAAAGAGUUAGUGGUCAUAUGAUGGUCCGCACGUUGGUCCAAGAGUUGAAUAUAUAAGUGUAGGAGUCAAGGCAUCGAUCACAAACCACAUCACUACACAAUAUGGGCAUUCACACAUUGCGCUGUAAGAGUGGAAAGAAAGUUAGAGAUGUCUUGUUGGAUGAGAAAGCAGCAGAGAAGGCCAAGAAUCCAUCUCGAGGGACAAGGCGGUGCAUAAAGAUCAUUCUAACAAGAAAGCAGCUCCAGCUGCUACUACUGAAUAGCGUAGAAGGUGUUUCCUUUAAGCUGCCAGAGACUUAUGGUAGCUGCAAGCGGAAAUGGAAGCCAUCUUUGCAGACAAUAGUAGAGGUCGAUAACUAAUGAUGUCCUAGUCUUCAUACUCAGUUUCUGUACAAGUUUGAAUCUCCAUGUAGCUUGCAGCAGAGUAAGCAGAAGUGAGAGAGUUUUGAUAACAACUUAGUCUAGUAGUUGGGUUUUCCCUUGUCGAUCGUGUGAUCUGUAAAGUGUUCAACUUGCAGUUCCUUUUAUGGGUUUGUUAUAUUGAAUUCUUUAAUGUUAAAUCAAUUACUUUUGUGUGGUAAUGACAAAGUUGAUGCCUUUCCAUUGGAAUAUGAUGAAAAGGAAGAAACUUUGCAAAGCGAUUCGAUUCUUGUUCCUUCAUUCUCUUAGUUUUUAAACAAAGUCUUUGUGUUUGGUAAUCAAGAUGAAGAAAAGAGACAAAACCCAUUCCUCGGGACAAAGGCAUCUCCAAUGUCUCAUCCAUCAAUCCUAAAAUGACGAUUAUGCCCCUUCACAUCCUCUAAACCAUGGGGGCUCUUCAUGUCAUUGUAGGUAGAGUAGUUAUGAAUCAUCGGUUAAACUAAUGGUAAACAUUAAAGAAAAGCACCUGAGAACUUGUGUUGAUCAACCAAGCUGACGUUAAAAACCAUCUCAAUCCCCCUUCCUCACAAGCUGCAUUCAUCAUAGUUCUUAGCUUCAACAUAUCUCCUAUCUCUCCCUCUCUCUCUCUGGAUCAACAAGAAAUGGAGAUUCAAGCAAGACUAAUGGAAUACAAGUUCCAUGUCAUGAUCACAAUAAUCGUCAUCGUGGUUCUGUCGUCCCUCGUGUACGCAGCACCAAGAAUCCUCGACAUAUUAGCUUACUUCUGGCCUCUGUUUGCGUCAACGGCCGCCUUCUUAGCCAUGGCAAUCACCUCCGGCGCCUUCCAACAACUCUCAGAUGAAGCUACCGGCGAGGGAAUCAUGGAUUACGUCGCCGGACGGCCUGAAGAUUUUCACUAGUACGAAUGAAAGACAUUACAAUGUACAAAGUUGGUCCCUUUAUGUCAAAUAAAAUGUCACUGACUCAUUGAUUGAUUGUGUAACAAAAUCAAAUAGAUUAUAAGACUAUGCAGAAACAGAGUAUCAAUGACCAUAACAGAGUAUUACUAAUGAAACAGAACAAACUCUCUAGUAUCCAUAAUCAUAAGCGAACUCGUUGACACCAACCAUAGCCGAGACCACUUGCGAGACGAUAUAGAAGCUUCCACCUAAGAUGAUCACAAUGAGAACGGCGGAGAUUGGGUUCUUGAGGAGUUCGAAAAUGGGCUCAAAGACAGCAGAGAGAGCUCCUGUGCUGACGGUGAGAGCGUAAAGACCGUACCUUCUCACGUUGUCCCAAAACUCUUCCAUCAAAGGACCUUCUGGUCCCAAAGCCAACGCCUUUUCUCCGUCCAUUCCCAUCACCAAAGCCACCAUCAACCCUACCGAGACACCAGUCACCAAAGCUUGUCUCAGUUGCUUCUUCUCCAAACCCAAAGUUUGUGUCUUUUCAAGCUUGGUUUUGUUACUUUCCACCGUUAAUCUUCUGCACUGAACGCGGCAUGAUGGCCUGGUGCUUAUGCUUGAGCUCGGAGACACCUUAGCUGCUGGUAAUAAUCUGCUACUGCUCAGAUGGAGAUGAGGUUGCAGAGAAGAUACUUUCAUUUUGGGGAGAGACAUCAUCAUCAUCAUAGUCAUCUCACUUCUUCCUUGUAGUUAGUCUGAUUCUAUCUUUAUAUACUUAAGACUGUGUGGCU
This 4159-nucleotide long non-coding RNA is filed under the name Brassica napus (rape). RNAcentral's name for it is "long non-coding RNA (BNAP_LNC002873)". Lineage: Eukaryota; Viridiplantae; Streptophyta; Magnoliopsida; Brassicales; Brassicaceae. The record is from RNAcentral.